RNAcentral lists this long non-coding RNA (2886 nucleotides) under Zea mays. Its description in RNAcentral is "long non-coding RNA (ZMAY_LNC005288)". The record is from RNAcentral. Lineage: Eukaryota; Viridiplantae; Streptophyta; Magnoliopsida; Poales; Poaceae.
UAUCCUUGGACUACUUUAACACUUAAAAUAGAUAGUCCAGUCUUGGACGGAUCGAGUAUAUCAUUAUGAUGUACAAGUCAAUGAUGAUAGUCAUAGUGAGUCCGCGAUGAGUCGCCCACUGCUGUGCAUCUAGCCCUCAGCACGAUCGUAAUGCAUCAUAUAAGAUGAUAAAAUUUUGGUAAACAACAAGGAAAGAGGUGAAUGCACCGAGAUUUGCCUAGGAUAAAACACUAUGUUAAUGUUGUUAGAUGAUACUCGCUUGACGACCAUCUCCCGUCCUAGCACUCGAUCGAAUCAUCCAUCGUUAGGUUCAUCGACCAGCAUCACUUUGAGAUCAAUUCGGUUCUUGUCCUCCACAUCACGUGAUCAACUAGUGUACCUAAUGAAAUGUGUGAUGCACAUGAACGAAUGCAGAUAAAAAUAGCACAAGAUAGGUAAUAUUACCCGAAGUAUAUCAAACGCUUAUAGCAAGGCAUCACAAUUCUAAUACGAAAACACUAAAUACUUUUAACUCUCUAACACAACAAUCUUGAUCUUCCAGGUACUCGGACCUAAUUCAAACAUCUGGCAACAACAGCCAUACAUACGUUCUAUGCCCUCCUUAGCUAAAGAAUAACACCGAACAUUAACAAAACAUAUAUUCAUUAAUCUAGGAUACCUAGGACUUAGAAUAACAAACAAUAGCAUGUCAAGUAACUUUAGAAUUACUCCACUAAACUAUUAUGCAUAGCAUACCAACUAAACAAGCAUCGCAUCAUCACAUAUGAUCGAAUUUCCCCAAGACUAUACAAUAUAAAAAUAAACAUUUGCUAACAAGGUAACACAACACUCAUAAACAAAUACUAGAUGUUGACAUAACACUAAGAAUAAUAUCAACUUUAUUCUAACUUAACCGGAUCCGAUUCAAAAAGCAAGUAUCAAUAAACCAUGCAUAAGCACUCUACCUUGCUUAGACAUACACCAAUAGACUAGUAGAACUUAGGGUCAUUAUUCCUAGGCACCUAAAAGUUAUAAUAAGGGUAGGAACAUUCUAUCUAACUUUCUAUACCACUUUCCGAAUUAACUUGCAUAGGACACCAACUAACACAACAUCACUUUUCUUUCAAUCAAACAAGUAGAGCACUAUCGCACAACAUAGAGUUCCAUGGAACUACAUUCUCAACAACUAAAGAUCUAAAGCAUAAAAGAUGUAAUAGAGGAAGUGCUCCAUAAUUUCAUUAGCUAGAGCAUAACAUCGAUAGGUUACUUAGACUUGUCACCUUUGAACACUCAAAACUUAGAAUGGUGAUAUAACUCAUUUACUAACUUUCUAAAAUAUUUCUGUAGGCUAACUUGUAUAAUACUUUGACUUACUAACUUUGGAUAUAAAAAAUUUAGGAUAAGGAUGAAAGCAAUGCAAUUAACCAUUUAAUCCAACAAGACCUAGAGCAAGUAUCAAUAAAGCAAUACACCGUACUCAAACAACAAGGCAUUUCAUCAAAUGUUUACUUACAUACGCAUAAGAACAUAGGUAAAGCUAAUUCCAAGUAACAAGUAUCAUGAUCACAUCUACUUGAAUAACCCACUCCCCAAACAAAAACCCAAGCAAUGGUAUGAGAAGGCCUAGAGAUCCACAAAUCCAUAAUGCCACCUUCUGCUUACAAUCUGUUUGAAAAAGAUAACACGUAGAUAACAUGGACAUGAUAAAGUCAAAAUGACAAAAGACAAAUGAAUCAUAAGUAAAUAUCCACCCUCCAUGAUUAACUUAAGUGAAUAACAUAGAAGAUGAUAUUUUCUAAGAAAAAGCAUUCAUGUCACCAUACAAUAGAAAUUUACAUAAGUAACACUAAUAGUUCUUAUCGACAAAGUGCUAGAAGUACUAUACAUAUUCUUUGUAUUACUAAUUUAACCAUACCUCUUGUAAGUCUAGCAAUGUACUAACUAGAUAGGAAUGUCACAUUCUUUGAUUUAGUAACUAGAGUAUUACCAAAUAUUGCAUAACUCUACCGACUACACUUUUAGAAGCAAAAGACCUAAAGUGCCUACAUGCUAAACAUAAGUGGGCUAAGAAGACAAUACAAAUAGCUUAAACUAUAUUGCUAAUGAAUUAUAUUAUACAAACAUAAGGUCUAUUCACUCUUGCUUCAUUGAUAUAUUCACUUAAAUACUCCUCAAAAAACAGUCAUUUUAAACCUAAGUUUUACAUGUUGCGACUACUCCAUAUUUAUUAACACGAUCACAUCAAUGCAAGAAAUGAGGCUUCUCAACCAUAACUAUUAGUCUACCCAAACUCAUUACAUUCAACAUAUCAUCACAAAAACAAGGAAAUGAUAGGAAAGGUCGUUCCUUGCAUGACACUAUGAAACAUCAUCUAGACAAUAGCAAGGAGUCUAGAAAUCAAUACCGCAACACACCUGCUUUACAAAUAAAAUAAACAUCAUAGGUAGAACAUCUAUCCAAUCAACCAUUCAUGCUAACUAACGAGGAUAGCAAAGGAGCUCACCAUAACUAAAUCAGACUACGGAAACGACGACGAUUUCGAUUCAACCAUUACGUCGAGCACCAGGUGUGCGAUGCGCUGGAGCUUCUUUUCUUCUUCUCCACCCAACCAUCCCAGGAGUUGCUCCUCUACAAUAACACAUGCAUACACACAAUUAACCAUGAGGUACUACCGAUGACAAGGAAAUAAUAGAGCACAUAUAUAGACCUCACCGACGACAUACAGAAUGACGACAAAUCUGUCAGCAAGGAGGGUCAAACUCGACCAGAGAACAUGGCGAGUCCAGUAACCUAUUUGUUGUGUAGAGAGAGAAGACUAGGGUGCUGACGAAUAUGAAGACAGAGAAAGGGCAUCAACGAGAUGGUGAGCGAUGAUGGCUUGGCAAAGCCAAGCCCACGAUGAUGAUC